RNAcentral lists this ribosomal RNA (253 nucleotides) under uncultured bacterium. RNAcentral describes it as "partial 16S ribosomal RNA". It matches the Rfam family "Bacterial small subunit ribosomal RNA", at positions 524 to 776 of the family's 1533-position model. The record is from RNAcentral.
UACGUAGGGGGCGAGCGUUGUCCGGAUUUAUUGGGCGUAAAGAGCGUGUAGGCGGCCAGGUAGGUCUGCUGUGAAAACUCGAGGCUCAACCUCGAGACGUCGGCGGAAACCAUCUGACUAGAGUCCGGAAGAGGAGAGUGGAAUUCCUGGUGUAGCGGUGAAAUGCGCAGAUAUCAGGAAGAACACCCGUGGCGAAGGCGGCUCUCUGGGACGGUACUGACGCUGAGACGCGAAAGCGUGGGGAGCGAACAGG